CCUCUUUCUCUUCUAUUCUCUUCUCUACCUCUCAUUCUCUGGUUCUCUUCCUCUCUUCCUCACUCUCUAUGAUUCAGUAGAUUUUUUUUCUCUAUCAUAAUAAAUCGCUUGUAUAUCAGUAUUAGGUUUAGCUUCCUCUUCGUCUGCAAACUCAGUAUUUAGGUUUAGCUUCAUCUUCGUCUACAAAUAGAUCCAUCACAAAUGAAAUUCUUAGACCCAGUUUUGAGAUUUCUCUUAUCCGAAUCAGUAUGAAGAAAACUAAGGUUCUUAGAAAGAUUUCUCUAGUUUGCUAGUUUGGUUGGUGCUCAAAAGGAUUUUGAAUGAACGGAUCCAACAACUUCGUGAGAAACAACUUUUACGGUAUGCAAACAUCAUUACUUCUUCUGAUUUCAAUUUCUCAAAUUAGGGGUUAUUUAAUUUUAAUAUGUUGUUCUUGUUUGGAGUUCAAAUGCGUAGAUUCUGGUAUUUUUGAUUGAUUUUAAUUGUUUAUGUCGUAAGUAGUCAUUCAAUUUUGCUAAACGUAAAGGUAGUGAUGUGUGAUCUUGGAUCAAGUUCAGAGCUGAAGUCGGCAUGUAAUUCUGCACUAAUAAAAGCUGCAGAUGAGAAUAGAUUCUAUUGGCCAUGUUAGUGUUCGUGUGGACGGUUCUAGUGAUUUAUCUAGAAAUUUAUUGUUGCUUCUAAUGGUGCGUUAAGUUGAUGUAGUUAUCCGAAGUUGUUUAAAUUACUGUGUGCUAGCUAACUCAGAAGCAAGUCUACUGCUCGUAUUUAUAGCUACUUAAAGUAAUUUAUAUUUAUUGGAUUCAUUUGAUUUCUGGUUUA
Long non-coding RNA from Papaver somniferum (opium poppy), 819 nucleotides. RefSeq lists it as uncharacterized. The transcript has 2 exons. The record is from RefSeq and is a predicted model, not a curated record. NCBI's taxonomy places the organism in Eukaryota, Viridiplantae, Streptophyta, Magnoliopsida, Ranunculales, Papaveraceae.